RNAcentral lists this signal recognition particle RNA (307 nucleotides) under Phascolarctos cinereus (koala). RNAcentral's name for it is "Metazoan signal recognition particle RNA (ENSPCIG00000013817.2)". It matches the Rfam family "Metazoan signal recognition particle RNA". From Rfam's summary of the family: The signal recognition particle (SRP) is a universally conserved ribonucleoprotein. It is involved in the co-translational targeting of proteins to membranes. Lineage: Eukaryota; Metazoa; Chordata; Mammalia; Diprotodontia; Phascolarctidae. The record is from RNAcentral.
GCUGGUUGUAGUAGUGCACACCUAUAAUCCUAGCUCCCAGAGAAGUUGAGGUUGGUGGAUUUCUUGAGCUUGGGUGUAUGUGGUAAGCUGUGGUAAGCUAUGCCAAUCAUGUGUCCACAUUAAGUUUGGCAUCAAUAUGUUGAGCUUCUGGGAGCAGGGGGCCACUAGGUUGCUUGAGAAGGGGUAAACUGGCCCAGGUCAGAAACUAAGAAGGUCAAAGCCCCAAGGUUAAACUGUAGAAGAAUCAGUCCAUGAGUUGUGGCCCCUGAACUUCCAACCUGGGCAAGAUGGGGGAGAUCCGGUUAUU